This 1363-nucleotide ribosomal RNA is filed under the name Curtobacterium sp. H122. RNAcentral's name for it is "bacterial SSU rRNA". It matches the Rfam family "Bacterial small subunit ribosomal RNA", at positions 64 to 1438 of the family's 1533-position model. Lineage: Bacteria; Bacillati; Actinomycetota; Actinomycetes; Micrococcales; Microbacteriaceae. The record is from RNAcentral.
GAACGAUGAUGCCCAGCUUGCUGGGUGGAUUAGUGGCGAACGGGUGAGUAACACGUGAGUAACCUGCCCCUGACUCUGGGAUAAGCGUUGGAAACGACGUCUAAUACUGGAUAUGAUCACCGGCCGCAUGGUCUGGUGGUGGAAAGAUUUUUUGGUUGGGGAUGGACUCGCGGCCUAUCAGCUUGUUGGUGAGGUAAUGGCUCACCAAGGCGACGACGGGUAGCCGGCCUGAGAGGGUGACCGGCCACACUGGGACUGAGACACGGCCCAGACUCCUACGGGAGGCAGCAGUGGGGAAUAUUGCACAAUGGGCGAAAGCCUGAUGCAGCAACGCCGCGUGAGGGAUGACGGCCUUCGGGUUGUAAACCUCUUUUAGUAGGGAAGAAGCGAAAGUGACGGUACCUGCAGAAAAAGCACCGGCUAACUACGUGCCAGCAGCCGCGGUAAUACGUAGGGUGCAAGCGUUGUCCGGAAUUAUUGGGCGUAAAGAGCUCGUAGGCGGUUUGUCGCGUCUGCUGUGAAAUCCCGAGGCUCAACCUCGGGCUUGCAGUGGGUACGGGCAGACUAGAGUGCGGUAGGGGAGAUUGGAAUUCCUGGUGUAGCGGUGGAAUGCGCAGAUAUCAGGAGGAACACCGAUGGCGAAGGCAGAUCUCUGGGCCGUAACUGACGCUGAGGAGCGAAAGCAUGGGGAGCGAACAGGAUUAGAUACCCUGGUAGUCCAUGCCGUAAACGUUGGGCGCUAGAUGUAGGGACCUUUCCACGGUUUCUGUGUCGUAGCUAACGCAUUAAGCGCCCCGCCUGGGGAGUACGGCCGCAAGGCUAAAACUCAAAGGAAUUGACGGGGGCCCGCACAAGCGGCGGAGCAUGCGGAUUAAUUCGAUGCAACGCGAAGAACCUUACCAAGGCUUGACAUACACCGGAAACGGCCAGAGAUGGUCGCCCCCUUGUGGUCGGUGUACAGGUGGUGCAUGGUUGUCGUCAGCUCGUGUCGUGAGAUGUUGGGUUAAGUCCCGCAACGAGCGCAACCCUCGUUCUAUGUUGCCAGCGGGUUAUGCCGGGGACUCAUAGGAGACUGCCGGGGUCAACUCGGAGGAAGGUGGGGAUGACGUCAAAUCAUCAUGCCCCUUAUGUCUUGGGCUUCACGCAUGCUACAAUGGCCGGUACAAAGGGCUGCGAUACCGUAAGGUGGAGCGAAUCCCAAAAAGCCGGUCUCAGUUCGGAUUGAGGUCUGCAACUCGACCUCAUGAAGUCGGAGUCGCUAGUAAUCGCAGAUCAGCAACGCUGCGGUGAAUACGUUCCCGGGCCUUGUACACACCGCCCGUCAAGUCAUGAAAGUCGGUAACACCCGAAGCCGGUGGCCUAA